GACGAACGCUGGCGGCGUGCUUAACACAUGCAAGUCGAACGGAAAGGCCCUGCUUUUGUGGGGUGCUCGAGUGGCGAACGGGUGAGUAACACGUGAGUAACCUGCCCUUGACUUUGGGAUAACAUCAGGAAACUGGGGCUAAUACCGGAUAGGAGCUCCUGCUGCAUGGUGGGGGUUGGAAAGUUUCGGCGGUUGGGGAUGGACUCGCGGCUUAUCAGCUUGUUGGUGGGGUAGUGGCUUACCAAGGCUUUGACGGGUAGCCGGCCUGAGAGGGUGACCGGCCACAUUGGGACUGAGAUACGGCCCAGACUCCUACGGGAGGCAGCAGUGGGGAAUAUUGCACAAUGGGCGGAAGCCUGAUGCAGCAACGCCGCGUGCGGGAUGACGGCCUUCGAGCUGUAAACCGCUUUGUCCUGUGACGAAGCGUGAGUGACGGUAAUGGGUAAGGAAGCACCGGCUAACUACGUG
RNAcentral lists this ribosomal RNA (468 nucleotides) under uncultured bacterium. RNAcentral's name for it is "partial 16S ribosomal RNA". It matches the Rfam family "Bacterial small subunit ribosomal RNA", at positions 28 to 507 of the family's 1533-position model. The record is from RNAcentral.